This is a long non-coding RNA of Cucurbita maxima (winter squash), 2122 nucleotides long. RefSeq lists it as uncharacterized. The record is from RefSeq and is a predicted model, not a curated record. The transcript has 3 exons. NCBI's taxonomy places the organism in Eukaryota, Viridiplantae, Streptophyta, Magnoliopsida, Cucurbitales, Cucurbitaceae.
AAGGAUUAUCACCAUAUUCAUGUACAUUAAAAAAAAUAUAUUGCUUCAAUAUUAUGGUAGCAUUGUGGCACAUAUUGGUUUAUUUUGACUAUGUUCUGGCAUGCAUCUGGUAUGAUUUACUCGUAUCCCUUACAAAGUCAAGAUGGUUGAACACUUUAAAUGCUCAUAUGAUCAGCAACUUUAUGUCGGGUUGGCACAAAUAUUAGAUUGCAAUAUGGAGGUAGAUGCUAGCUUUUUAUCUAAAAACAUAUGGAGGUAAAAUAUCAUGUUUACAUUUCUUUCUUUUUAUUUUUUGGAAACACAUGCUGACAUUUGUUAUUGUAUCCUUUGUUGUAAUGUAUGUUGGAUUCUGGAGAAUGGAGUAGGAUGACUUUUUUUUAUGAGAUUUGUAGGGUUUAAUUAGCUUUUAAGAAUCCAACAUAGGUAGGAAAAAUAAAAUAUGUAUUCUAUCCUUGGGAGUUCUCAAGUAAGUCGAAGAUAUACAUCCAAUUAAAAAAAGAAAAAAGAGGAAAAAAAAAAAAUAAAGAAAGAAAGAAAGAAAAAAGGAAGAAAGAAUAGGUGACCAGUGGGUUUCACAUAUGCAAGGAGAGGGAAGAACUAGUAAGGUUGGGGGUCAUUUAGCCUCUAACAAUGUCGAGGUUAUUCGGCAGGGUAAGCUAGUCGGGUUUUUGUGGGUUAAGACUGAGCAACUGCUACUAAUAUAGGGAGAGGACUAUUGACAGGAGGCUAGAAUGUGAAAGUCCCACCUCUCAAGUGCUUGGAAGGUGAAGUACCUAAUAUUUAUUAACAAUGUCUUCUAAAUUUGUUUUGAACAAUGCAUUAUCAUUUUUUCUAUAAUGAAAUCUUGUCAAACAAUUUUCUUUUUAACGUUUAAAGUUUGAUGUAUAUAUUAUCUCGAGUUUUUUAGCUAACUUUUAUGCACCUCAAUUACAUUUGAUUGAUACUAUUACAUUUGGACAUUUGGUUGCCAAUAAAUUUGUAGGGUAUUAAAUCCUAAGUCGGUAGUCAUUCCAUUUCAUUCAAAGCUCUUUACCUUCUUUAUUGAUCCCAAUGGCUAUCAGGCCGGUUGUAAACACAUAAAUUAAAGCUCUAAAAUCAAUUACAUUAACAAACCAAUCAACUUGUUUGGCUUUUAUAGCCUUGCAAACUAACAAAUUUAGAAAUGAUAAAAUUAGCCAAAUCUAAAAAAUAGGAAAAACAACUACCCACUAAUUAAUUUAGUGGUUCUAACAUUACUAGAGAAGUGGACAUCCUAAAGAAAUGGUAGCCAUUUCAUCCUAGAGAACAGAUCUAGUAUGACCAUCUUUAACAAGGCCAACCCAUGAUCAUCAUCAUACGUUGUUUUUGGGAUGCCAAUUGUUGAUAUUCUCAAUUGCAUUAUCUUUAGCACCGGAGCAAAUUGUUUUUUUGGAAUGCUGGAAGGGAAAAGCAUGGAAUGUGAAUUGGUUCUGUUGAGGAGAGAGAAAUUGAAAGACACGAGGAAGUGGUGUAGGAGGUGAUACUGCACAAAAUUGGAUGAUGGUAAAGAACGUAGAAAUGUUGCUUGAACGCAGAUUGUGAAAUGGAAACAGUCAAUAAUAACUAAUCUUAAAGGGGAAUGGCUAUAAGCUUUUCUUCUAUAGGCAUAAAGAUCCACACACUUCUCGUAGAGGUCAAUCGAAGUGAGAAGAGGAAAGUUGCGAGUCCCUACAUUUCUUCCCGUAAUGGCUUUGAUGGUUUGAUUUUUUGAGUCUUUCUGGUAAACUUAAGCUAAACAUACAUGUUGAGGUGAAGAUGUUAUUAAUGAGUCUGUGUGAGGAAGAGGGAAUUAAAGUUAUGGGAAAAAGGCUGUGUGUCAACUAUGGUAGUGAACCUAUACUUUGUUAGGAAGGAUGCAAAUGCGGCAAUAGCUAGGCCUCCAAAUUUUCAAUCCAACUAAAAAAAGAAAGAAAAAGAAGGCUAUUGCAAAAGUGAUUAAUUGACAUUUAAGGGACUUACAAAUGCAUAUCUGCAAAUAGGAGAGAACAUGGUUUAUGUGUCUUCUAUGUGAUUAGAAUUCGUGGAUGUGAGAAGUAGGACUUGCAUAUAUUGGUUCUAAAGGAGUGUAUUGGACUUCUUUUUUUUUUUUUUUUAAAUCUCGGGA